AAAAACCAUAACAGUGACGUAGCUCUUGCUACAAUUGUAAGUUGUGAUCCUAAAUUUAAACUUGAUGGUGCUGAAAUUAGAAAUGAAUUAUGGGCAUUUCAUGUCGAUAUGUCACUUUUGAAAACUGAAAAUUUGGUACGGAGUCGCAAAACCUGCAAUACUCUCGGUAAUGCAGAAAAAUAAAGAUUGCAUGGCCUUCAACCUUUGUACGUGACUAGUACCUUAACUGUAUUACUACUUGCAUCAUGUCAAUGCAUUGUGUGUUAACAAUUCAUUCUGUUUUCUUGUUUGUAGAUUCAAAAGACUAAUGGAUGAGUAUAUGGGUGCAUGGCAAGUAUAUUGCAAUGAUGAUGUUCAUGUUCCAGUUCAUGAUGAAGAUGAUGAUCGAUGCUUUCAGUUUUAGUUAAGUAGUAGGGAUGACGUUCCUCUUGGUUGUUGUUCGUCGGUUCAAUUUUAGUUAAGUUCUAGGGAUGUUGAUGGAUGCUUU
Molecule: long non-coding RNA, 487 nt
Filed under: Triticum aestivum (bread wheat)
Lineage: Eukaryota; Viridiplantae; Streptophyta; Magnoliopsida; Poales; Poaceae
Description: long non-coding RNA (TAES_LNC025163)
Source: RNAcentral